Molecule: ribosomal RNA, 635 nt
Filed under: Trisetacus piceae
Lineage: Eukaryota; Metazoa; Arthropoda; Arachnida; Trombidiformes; Phytoptidae
Description: eukaryotic LSU rRNA
Rfam family: Eukaryotic large subunit ribosomal RNA
Source: RNAcentral
CGUGAGGGAAAGUUGCAAAGUACUUUGAAGAGAGAGUUAAACAGGGCGUGAAACCGCUAGCUGGUAAACGAGUAGAGCCACGAAGUCGUUUCGUAGAAUAAGAGAUACAGAUUCAGUUAAGGUUGGCGCAAGUUGGCUUUGGUGCAUUUCUGUUCAUCUCUCUAUGUAUAUGCGUACACUGCAACCAAUUAGACGAUCAAUUGUGGAAAUAGCUAGCCUACAUUGGGAGAAAUCUUAGUGUUAGUUAGCGGAAAUGCUUAUAUACUGCCUUCCGUAGGUUGUUCGAUUUGAUCCUCGUGGUCAUCUUGAGCGUAUGAUGGGGUGGUAUGAGAGCUACGAUUGAAUACUGAUUGGCACAAUGAAAAUCCAUUCGCAAGAAUGGUCCCAGAUAACACUACCUGUGUCGUAUGUGUGUACAAGUGUUUAUUAUUAGCGUAAGCUUGGUAGUUUUAAAUUUAGACUGGUGGGCUAUCUUUGGUUUCGGCCCUUGAUGCCUAUUCAGCUUUCUAUCUAAUUGGCUAUCAACUUUGCUAGUAAUCUUGUGCUUGCCAAUGAUAGCAUGCAUGCGACAAUGGGCAAGUAAUCUUAUUGGCAGUGAGUAGGUCGGCUUUCUACACGACCCGUCUUGAAACACG